This 24-nucleotide ribosomal RNA is filed under the name Cryptococcus neoformans. Its description in RNAcentral is "partial 5.8S ribosomal RNA". Lineage: Eukaryota; Fungi; Basidiomycota; Tremellomycetes; Tremellales; Cryptococcaceae. The record is from RNAcentral.
AGGGCAUGCCUGUUUGAGAGUCAU